AACGAACGCUGGCGGCAUGCCUAACACAUGCAAGUCGAACGAGACCUUCGGGCCUAGUGGCGCACGGGUGCGUAACGCGUGGGAACCUGCCCUUAGGUUCGGAAUAACUCCCCGUAAGGGGUGCUAAUACCGGUUAAUGUCUUCGGACCAAAGAUUUAUCGCCUUGGGAUGGGCCCGCGUUGGAUUAGCCAGUUGGUAGGGUAAAAGCCUGCCAAGGCGACGAUCCAUAGCUGGUCUGAGAGGAUGAUCAGCCACACUGGGACUGAGACACGGCCCAGGCUCGGAGGGAGGGCAGCAGUGGGGAAUAUUGGACGAUGGACGAAAGCCUGAUCCAGCCGUGCCGCGUGAGUGGUGAAGGCGUUAGGGUUGUAAAGCUCUUUUAGCCGGGAUGAUAAUGACAGUACCGGGAGAAUAAGCUCCGGCUAACUACGUG
RNAcentral lists this ribosomal RNA (433 nucleotides) under uncultured bacterium. RNAcentral describes it as "partial 16S ribosomal RNA". It matches the Rfam family "Bacterial small subunit ribosomal RNA", at positions 29 to 507 of the family's 1533-position model. The record is from RNAcentral.